Molecule: ribosomal RNA, 392 nt
Filed under: Staphylococcus epidermidis
Lineage: Bacteria; Bacillati; Bacillota; Bacilli; Caryophanales; Staphylococcaceae
Also listed under: 1 other name
Description: bacterial SSU rRNA
Rfam family: Bacterial small subunit ribosomal RNA
Source: RNAcentral
UUUAUGGAGAGUUUGAUCCUGGCUCAGGAUGAACGCUGGCGGCGUGCCUAAUACAUGCAAGUCGAGCGAACAGACGAGGAGCUUGCUCCUCUGACGUUAGCGGCGGACGGGUGAGUAACACGUGGAUAACCUACCUAUAAGACUGGGAUAACUUCGGGAAACCGGAGCUAAUACCGGAUAAUAUAUUGAACCGCAUGGUUCAAUAGUGAAAGACGGUUUUGCUGUCACUUAUAGAUGGAUCCGCGCCGCAUUAGCUAGUUGGUAAGGUAACGGCUUACCAAGGCAACGAUGCGUAGCCGACCUGAGAGGGUGAUCGGCCACACUGGAACUGAGACACGGUCCAGACUCCUACGGGAGGCAGCAGUAGGGAAUCUUCCGCAAUGGGCGAAAGC